RNAcentral lists this ribosomal RNA (498 nucleotides) under uncultured bacterium. RNAcentral describes it as "bacterial SSU rRNA". It matches the Rfam family "Bacterial small subunit ribosomal RNA", at positions 28 to 520 of the family's 1533-position model. The record is from RNAcentral.
GAUGAACGCUAGCGGCAGGCCUAAUACAUGCAAGUCGAGGGGCAGCGCGGUAGCAAUACUGGCGGCGACCGGCGCACGGGUGCGUAACACGUAUGCAACCUACCUUCAACUGGAGGAUAGCCCGGGGAAGCUCGGAUUAAUACUCCAUAACACAGGGAUCCCGCAUGGGAAUAUUGUUAAAGCUACGGCGGUUGAAGAUGGGCAUGCGUUCGAUUAGCUAGUUGGUGUAGGUAACGGCUCACCAAGGCUACGAUCGAUAGGGGGUCUGAGAGGAUGAUCCCCCACACUGGUACUGAGAUACGGACCAGACUCCUACGGGAGGCAGCAGUAGGGAAUAUUGGUCAAUGGGCGCAAGCCUGAACCAGCCAUGCCGCGUGCAGGAAGAAGGCCCCUCUGGGGUUGUAAACUGCUUUUGAUAGGGAACAAAUGCCACUUGCGAGUGGAGCUGAGUGUACCUAUAGAAUAAGCACCGGCUAACUCCGUGCCAGCAGCCGACGG